AUAGUGUUCACUUAAAUUUUGGUAUUACAUAGAGUGCAUUUUUAUUUUGUACUUGUUUGAAUCUUUGCAGACAGAGAUAUGGAGUCCUCAGCAGUAAUUCUCUUUCCUCUUCUGAUGAUGAGAAUUUUGAAAUACAGAAGUAUGAAGGUUGAGCUGAAAUCCUCAUGACCAACCAACAUCUUACAGGCCACGGUUCUUACUAAUUGAAGAGCCAGGAUCUGGGCGAGCUUCUGAUUUGGCAGCUGCAGUGAUACAUUCCCUGGAAAAGUUUCCAAUUUAUUCACUAGAUACACCAACUUUGUUUGCUAGUGCAUUACCAGAUGAAACAUGUACAGGUAGCUUUUUUGCUCAUUAGUCUCAUAGGAUAAAUGUAUAAACUAGUGAAGUUAGCAAAAGUCAUUGUCAAUAUAAGUGGCCUGAUUAAAUAUGCUGUUUUGUUUACUUUUGUCUGAAAAUCCACUUUUCCAAUGGAAUGAUACCACCUAAGAAUUUUAUACAUAGCCAUGUUACCCAUUUGAAAUAUAAUAGGGAGAACAUUACUAGCAGCUCAGGAAGAUGGGAAGUGCUGCUAAUAAACCCCUUUCUGCGGCAAGAAAUCCUGCUGGUCUUACGUGUCUUUUCUGCCUAAAAGGCACACUUUCAAAGCUGCUGAGCUUUUUCAGGUGUGUUGAAUUACAGUCUUUUGUUGCAUGACAGAGCUACUUCUUGGCUCACAAACUGUAAUUCCUCCUAAGUGUGACAGCACAAGUUCUUUUUUUUUUAAAUCUUAUUAGCAGUGCUGAGCCAUCACACAAACUGAACCAGUAGACUUUAGAAUGAGUUAUAUUAAAAUUCUCACAACUAUGAAACAUACAUUUAGUUAUAAUAGAGGUUAUAUAGUAUUAUAUACAGUUACUUUGGAACAAAGUGGAAGGCAAUUGUUUAAUAUUCUUGAUAUAUCUGUAUAUUUUAGCAUCAGCUAAAAUUCUGCUCUGCUGUAAUUACCUUUUCAUAUUAGUCAAUGGCAAUAGUUAAGAGA
This is a non-coding RNA of Taeniopygia guttata (zebra finch), 1018 nucleotides long. NCBI's taxonomy places the organism in Eukaryota, Metazoa, Chordata, Aves, Passeriformes, Estrildidae. The record is from RefSeq and is a predicted model, not a curated record.